Molecule: long non-coding RNA, 1585 nt
Organism: Physeter macrocephalus (sperm whale)
Lineage: Eukaryota; Metazoa; Chordata; Mammalia; Artiodactyla; Physeteridae
Exons: 5
Source: RefSeq, a predicted model, not a curated record
GUUUACUGCUGACUAAAGGGACUAAGAUCGUUCCCGGGCUGUCGACUCCAUGGAGGAAAAGAGUUCUGGAUAAAGAGAAACGUAAAAUUCUGUUGCUCCCUUGUCCUGCUCGAGGAGACAGAGGUCAAGCGUAGCUGUGGAGUUCUACUUGGGGUCACCGCUGCACUGAGGUACAGCCCUUCAGAGAGUUCUAAUCGAGGUGGCUCCACCUUGCCUUUGCACCAAUCACAGAGAAGAAAAGGGACCCUCCAGGUGGCAGUAGGACCUUGCUCUCUGGCCAGGCUGAUAUCAGCCGCUGCGUAGAUUUUGUACAUGUAUAAUCAUUUCCAGGAUACUCACAUGCUACACAGAAUUGAAAGAUGCCCAAUUUUGCUAUUAAAAAAAUGAAGUUAUAAUUUUCUAGUGCAGAGUGACUGCACAGGAAGACUGUCAUAAGCAAUCUACAGGAGCGCUAACAGAAGAUAUGAAGAAACCAGAUUUCUAUACCAACUAAUGGAAAAUUAACCACUGGUGAGUCUAGUUUCAAUCCCAAAUCAAGGACACACAUGUUAGUACUGAUUCUGUCCACUCAGUUACAACAUUCCCAUUCCUGAACUAGAUUAGCUACUGAAAUUCUAAAAAUGCUCAUUUUCCUGGGUAUCCUCUUUUGUCAAAGGGUUUAGUAUUUAUUAUGUUAUUUACAAUAAUUGACAUUUACGAAAAGUGGAGAGACCAGAGAAAACAUUCCAUAGUAUGUAAGACCUUUAUCUCUUUUUAAAUGUCCUUAGUAGACUAUAAUACGAAGCAAUUAUAUUUAGAUCUUCAUGACUUGAAGGUGUCUUGAAUAUCUCUUAAUCUGCUUUCUCCCUUCAAAUUUCUUUCCAUUCUAAAGAGAACAUUUUUGCAUCUUAGUACUAAUCCUGUAGAAUUUAAAAAAAAACACGAAGAUUCUAUGUUUCAUACAUUUUGAAUUAAAAUUACCAAAGCAAUAAACCCUAUAAGGAUCAUUUUUUUUUCUUAUUUAAAUACUGGUACUUUCUAUUAACCCUAUUUCAAAUUUAGAGUUAUAUAUACAUUGUGAAGAUGUCCAUGUACACAAGUUUCUGCAGAACCUCCAAUUUAUUAUAAAACUUCUUCCUCACACACAUUAGAGAACUAUGUAUGUUCACUUUCACAUGUUUAAACAACCCAAGAAGGGUGGCAUAUUUUAAAGUUAACAACACUUUUUAUCAUUAUAAAAACAGACUGAGAUUUAAUGGUGACCCUAGCAUUUGGUUACUCUGACUGAUUAGCUAGGCUCCUGACUUUUUAUAUUCAUUAUUGUUGGCUAAUUUGACACUGGAUUGUACGUAUCACAUGCAUUUUUCCAGGAGAUAAAGAGGGAAUACAAAAACCGCAAAUUCUAAGCAGAUGAUUUUGCUACUUUUAGCACUUCUGGUAAAAGGGCUAGUUGAAGUUAAAGAGGGAAAGCUAUUAACAAAAAGAAAAGUAGGGGACAAGUUACCUGUGGAUUUCAUUUACUCACAUUUGGACUGGUCCUCCUUAUUGGAGGCUAACUGAAAACAGACCAGACCAUGACUUCUAGCUUUAUGUUGGUAACUUUCAA